Molecule: ribosomal RNA, 661 nt
Filed under: uncultured Fusobacteriota bacterium
Lineage: Bacteria; Fusobacteriati; Fusobacteriota
Description: bacterial SSU rRNA
Rfam family: Bacterial small subunit ribosomal RNA
Source: RNAcentral
GAAAGCUAUAUGCNCUGUGAGAGAGCUUUGCGUCCCAUAGUUAUUGUGAGNUAACGGCUCACCAAGACGAUGAUGGGUAACCGGCCUGAGAGGGUGAACGGCCACAAGGGGACUGAGACACGGCCCUUACUCCUACGGGAGGCACAUGGGGAAUAUUGGACAAUGGACCAAAAGUCUGAUCCAGCAAUUCUGUGUGCACGAUGAAGUUUUUCGGAAUGUAAAGUGCUUUCAGUUGGGAAGAAGUCAGUGACGGUACCAACAGAAGAAGCGACGGCUAAAUACGUGCCAGCAGCCGCGGUAAUACGUAUGUCGCAAGCGUUAUCCGGAUUUAUUGGGCGUAAAGCGCGUCUAGGCGGUUUAGUAAGUCUGAUGUGAAAAUGCGGGGCUCAACCCCGUAUUGCGUUGGAAACUGCUAAACUAGAGUACUGGAGAGGUAGGCGGAACUACAAGUGUAGAGGUGAAAUUCGUAGAUAUUUGUAGGAAUGCCGAUGGGGAAGCCAGCCUACUGGACAGAUACUGACGCUAAAGCGCGAAAGCGUGGGUAGCAAACAGGAUUAGAUACCCUGGUAGUCCACGCCGUAAACGAUGAUUACUAGGUGUUGGGGGUCGAACCUCAGCGCCCAAGCUAACGCGAUAAGUAAUCCGCCUGGGGAGUACGUAC